AGUCACUGACAUUAGAUACCCCUGUAGUCCCAGCCGUAAACAAUGUGCGUUAGGUGUGUCGGUAACCACGUGUUACUGAUGCGCCGAAGAAAAAUCGUGAAACGUACCACCUGGGAAGUACGGUCGCAAGGCUGAAACUUAAAGGAAUUGGCGGGGAGCACCACAACAGGUGGAGCCUGCGGUUUAAUUGGAUUCAACGCCGGACAUCUCACCGGAUAAGACAGCUGAAUGAUUGUCAAUCUGAAGGUUUUACAUGACUAGCUG
RNAcentral lists this ribosomal RNA (264 nucleotides) under uncultured archaeon. Its description in RNAcentral is "partial 16S ribosomal RNA". It matches the Rfam family "Archaeal small subunit ribosomal RNA", at positions 718 to 982 of the family's 1478-position model. The record is from RNAcentral.